This 2900-nucleotide ribosomal RNA is filed under the name Klebsiella pneumoniae. RNAcentral's name for it is "bacterial LSU rRNA". It matches the Rfam family "Bacterial large subunit ribosomal RNA". Lineage: Bacteria; Pseudomonadati; Pseudomonadota; Gammaproteobacteria; Enterobacterales; Enterobacteriaceae. The record is from RNAcentral. RNAcentral also lists the same sequence under 1 other name.
UUAAGCGACUAAGCGUACACGGUGGAUGCCCUGGCAGUCAGAGGCGAUGAAGGACGUGCUAAUCUGCGAAAAGCGUCGGUAAGGUGAUAUGAACCGUUAUAACCGGCGAUGUCCGAAUGGGGAAACCCAGUGCAAUUCGUUGCACUAUCGUUAACUGAAUACAUAGGUUAACGAGGCGAACCGGGGGAACUGAAACAUCUAAGUACCCCGAGGAAAAGAAAUCAACCGAGAUUCCCCCAGUAGCGGCGAGCGAACGGGGAGCAGCCCAGAGUCUGAAUCAGCUUGUGUGUUAGUGGAACGGUCUGGAAAGUCCGACGGUACAGGGUGAUAGUCCCGUACACCAAAAUGCACAGGUUGUGAACUCGAAGAGUAGGGCGGGACACGUGGUAUCCUGUCUGAAUAUGGGGGGACCAUCCUCCAAGGCUAAAUACUCCUGACUGACCGAUAGUGAACCAGUACCGUGAGGGAAAGGCGAAAAGAACCCCGGCGAGGGGAGUGAAAAAGAACCUGAAACCGUGUACGUACAAGCAGUGGGAGCACCUUCGGGUGUGACUGCGUACCUUUUGUAUAAUGGGUCAGCGACUUAUAUUCUGUAGCAAGGUUAACCGUAUAGGGGAGCCGCAGGGAAACCGAGUCUUAACUGGGCGUUAAGUUGCAGGGUAUAGACCCGAAACCCGGUGAUCUAGCCAUGGGCAGGUUGAAGGUUGGGUAACACUAACUGGAGGACCGAACCGACUAAUGUUGAAAAAUUAGCGGAUGACUUGUGGCUGGGGGUGAAAGGCCAAUCAAACCGGGAGAUAGCUGGUUCUCCCCGAAAGCUAUUUAGGUAGCGCCUCGUGAAUUCAUCUUCGGGGGUAGAGCACUGUUUCGGCUAGGGGGUCAUCCCGACUUACCAACCCGAUGCAAACUACGAAUACCGAAGAAUGUUAUCACGGGAGACACACGGCGGGUGCUAACGUCCGUCGUGAAGAGGGAAACAACCCAGACCGCCAGCUAAGGUCCCAAAGUCAUGGUUAAGUGGGAAACGAUGUGGGAAGGCACAGACAGCCAGGAUGUUGGCUUAGAAGCAGCCAUCAUUUAAAGAAAGCGUAAUAGCUCACUGGUCGAGUCGGCCUGCGCGGAAGAUGUAACGGGGCUAAACCAUGCACCGAAGCUGCGGCAGCGACACUAUGUGUUGUUGGGUAGGGGAGCGUUCUGUAAGCCUGCGAAGGUGACCUGUGAGGGUUGCUGGAGGUAUCAGAAGUGCGAAUGCUGACAUAAGUAACGAUAAAGCGGGUGAAAAGCCCGCUCGCCGGAAGACCAAGGGUUCCUGUCCAACGUUAAUCGGGGCAGGGUGAGUCGACCCCUAAGGCGAGGCCGAAAGGCGUAGUCGAUGGGAAACAGGUUAAUAUUCCUGUACUUGGUGUUACUGCGAAGGGGGGACGGAGAAGGCUAUGUUAGCCGGGCGACGGUUGUCCCGGUUUAAGCAUGUAGGCUGGUUAUCCAGGCAAAUCCGGAUAAUCAAGGCUGAGGUGUGAUGACGAGGCACUACGGUGCUGAAGUAACAAAUGCCCUGCUUCCAGGAAAAGCCUCUAAGCAUCAGGUAACAUCAAAUCGUACCCCAAACCGACACAGGUGGUCAGGUAGAGAAUACCAAGGCGCUUGAGAGAACUCGGGUGAAGGAACUAGGCAAAAUGGUGCCGUAACUUCGGGAGAAGGCACGCUGGUGUGUAGGUGAAGCCCCUGCGGGUGGAGCUGAGACCAGUCGAAGAUACCAGCUGGCUGCAACUGUUUAUUAAAAACACAGCACUGUGCAAACACGAAAGUGGACGUAUACGGUGUGACGCCUGCCCGGUGCCGGAAGGUUAAUUGAUGGGGUUAUCCGUAAGGAGAAGCUCUUGAUCGAAGCCCCGGUAAACGGCGGCCGUAACUAUAACGGUCCUAAGGUAGCGAAAUUCCUUGUCGGGUAAGUUCCGACCUGCACGAAUGGCGUAAUGAUGGCCAGGCUGUCUCCACCCGAGACUCAGUGAAAUUGAACUCGCUGUGAAGAUGCAGUGUACCCGCGGCAAGACGGAAAGACCCCGUGAACCUUUACUAUAGCUUGACACUGAACAUUGAGCCUUGAUGUGUAGGAUAGGUGGGAGGCUUUGAAGCGUGGACGCCAGUCUGCGUGGAGCCAACCUUGAAAUACCACCCUUUAAUGUUUGAUGUUCUAACGUUGGCCCCUGACCGGGGUUGCGGACAGUGUCUGGUGGGUAGUUUGACUGGGGCGGUCUCCUCCCAAAGCGUAACGGAGGAGCACGAAGGUUAGCUAAUCCUGGUCGGACAUCAGGAGGUUAGUGCAAUGGCAUAAGCUAGCUUGACUGCGAGCGUGACGGCGCGAGCAGGUGCGAAAGCAGGUCAUAGUGAUCCGGUGGUUCUGAAUGGAAGGGCCAUCGCUCAACGGAUAAAAGGUACUCCGGGGAUAACAGGCUGAUACCGCCCAAGAGUUCAUAUCGACGGCGGUGUUUGGCACCUCGAUGUCGGCUCAUCACAUCCUGGGGCUGAAGUAGGUCCCAAGGGUAUGGCUGUUCGCCAUUUAAAGUGGUACGCGAGCUGGGUUUAGAACGUCGUGAGACAGUUCGGUCCCUAUCUGCCGUGGGCGCUGGAGAAUUGAGGGGGGCUGCUCCUAGUACGAGAGGACCGGAGUGGACGCAUCACUGGUGUUCGGGUUGUCAUGCCAAUGGCACUGCCCGGUAGCUAAAUGCGGAAGAGAUAAGUGCUGAAAGCAUCUAAGCACGAAACUUGCCCCGAGAUGAGUUCUCCCUGAGACUUUAAGUCUCCUGAAGGAACGUUGAAGACGACGACGUUGAUAGGCCGGGUGUGUAAGCGCAGCGAUGCGUUGAGCUAACCGGUACUAAUGAACCGUGAGGCUUAACCUU